Molecule: ribosomal RNA, 406 nt
Filed under: uncultured bacterium
Lineage: Bacteria
Description: partial 16S ribosomal RNA
Rfam family: Bacterial small subunit ribosomal RNA
Source: RNAcentral
AUUGAACGCUGGCGGCAGGCCUAACACAUGCAAGUCGAACGAGUGGCGGACGGGUGAGUAAUGUCUGGGAAACUGCCUGAUGGAGGGGGAUAACUCCUGGAAACGGUAGCUAAUACCGCAUACCAUCAGAUGUGCCCAGAUGGAUUUAGCUUGUUGGUGUGGUAACGGCUCACCAAGGCGACGAUCCCUAGCUGGUCUGAGAGGGUGACCAGCCACACUGGGACUGAGACACGGUCCAGACUCCUACGGGAGGCAGCAGUGGGGAAUAUUGCACAAUGGACGCAAGCCUGAUGCAGCCAUGCCGCGUGUGUGAAGAAGGUCUUCGGAUUGUAAAGCUCUUUAAGUUGAGAGGCGGUACCAACAGAAUAAGCACCGGCUAACUUCGUGCCAGCAGCCGCGGUAAUAC